GAUGAACGCUGGCGGCGUGCCUAAUACAUGCAAGUCGAGCGAACGGACGAGAAGCUUGCUGGUCUGAUGUUAGCGGCGGACGGGUGAGUAACACGUGGAUAACCUACCUAUCAGACUGGGAUAACUUCGGGAAACCGUAGCUAAUCCCGGAUAAUAUUUUGAACCGCAUGGUUCAAAAGCGAAAGACGGUCUUGCUGUCACUUAUAGAUGGAUACGCGCUGCAUUAGCUAGUUGGUAAGGUCAAGGCCUACCAAGGCAACGAUGCAUAGCCGACCUGAGAGGGUGAUCGGCCACACUGGAACUGAGCCACGGUCCAGACUCCUACGAGAGGCAGCAGUAGGGAAUCUGCCGCAAUGGGCGAAAGCCUGACGGAGCAACGCCGCGUGAGUGAUGAAGAUCUUGGGAGCGUAAAGAUCUGUUAUUGGGGAAGAACAUAUGUGGAAGUAACUGUGCAGAGCUUGACGGUACUUAAUCAGGAAGCCACGGCUAACUACGUG
This 497-nucleotide ribosomal RNA is filed under the name uncultured bacterium. RNAcentral's name for it is "partial 16S ribosomal RNA". It matches the Rfam family "Bacterial small subunit ribosomal RNA", at positions 28 to 507 of the family's 1533-position model. The record is from RNAcentral.